GUUCGGUCCCUAUCCGCCGUGGGCGUAGGAAAUUUGAGAGGAGCUGUCCUUAGUACGAGAGGACCGGGAUGGACCAACCUCUGGUGCACCAGUUGUUCCGCCAGGAGCACAGCUGGGUAGCUAUGUUGGGAAGGGAUAAACGCUGAAAGCAUCUAAGCGUGAAGCCCACCUCAAGAUUAGAUUUCCCAUAGCGUAAGCUAGUAAGACCCCUGAAAGACUAUCAGGUUGAUAGGUUGGAGGUGUAAGUACAGUAAUGUAUUCAGCUGACCAAUACUAAUAGGUCGAGGGCUUGAUCAAAUA
Molecule: ribosomal RNA, 300 nt
Filed under: Clostridium haemolyticum
Lineage: Bacteria; Bacillati; Bacillota; Clostridia; Eubacteriales; Clostridiaceae
Description: partial 23S ribosomal RNA
Rfam family: Bacterial large subunit ribosomal RNA
Source: RNAcentral